GAUGAAGAACGCAGCGAAAUGCGAUAAGUAAUGUGAAUUGCAGAAUUCAGUGAAUCAUCGAAUCUUUGAACGCACAUUGCGACCCUUGGUAUUCCGAGGGGCAUGCCUGUUCGAGCGUCAUUAUAACCCCUCAAGCUCAGCUUGGUGUUGGGGCCUGCCGCACGGGCAGCCCUUAAAAUCAGUGGCGGUGCCAUCUGGCUCUAAGCGUAGUAAUUCUUCUCGCUAUAGAGUCCCGGUGGAUGCUUGCCAUUAACCCCCAAUUUUCUAUGGUUGACCUCGGAUCAGGUAGGGAUACCCGCUGAACUUAAGCAUAUCAAUAAGCGGAGGA
RNAcentral lists this unclassified non-coding RNA (328 nucleotides) under soil metagenome. RNAcentral's name for it is "partial contains 5.8S ribosomal RNA, internal transcribed spacer 2, and large subunit ribosomal RNA". The stretch from base 1 to 120 matches the Rfam family "5.8S ribosomal RNA", at positions 35 to 154 of the family's 154-position model. The record is from RNAcentral.